Long non-coding RNA from Mus musculus (house mouse), 512 nucleotides. RefSeq annotates it as predicted gene, 41742. The transcript has 3 exons. NCBI's taxonomy places the organism in Eukaryota, Metazoa, Chordata, Mammalia, Rodentia, Muridae. The record is from RefSeq and is a predicted model, not a curated record.
ACUAUUAGCUUUAAUUAUAUUCACAUAUUUCUUCCCUCUCUAUGUGUACACGGCCUUGUUUGUGUGGAUGUCAAGGGACAGCGACUGGUAAAUGGGUCUUCUCCUUACACUGUAUGGGUCCAUGGGAUGGAACUCAGGUUGUCAGGAUUAGUGGAAGUAACAAAUGGCAAAAUCUUCCAGAAUCUACAGUGCAGUGCAAUCCACGGCAGCUGCUCAGAAGAUCUUUGAGAGGAAGAGAGCUGAUGCUUGACAAAGAGGCUGUUAGCACCAGACACACAAUUGAAGUAGCCAUUCUGUUGAAGAAUGGCCUUCAGGACCCACAUCAAGGAACAGAUGAAUGUGCUCUUUUCUCAGAAGGAAUCAAAACCACAACUUGGAUGUUUGAACUCAAGAAAGCCAGGGUUUGAUGCAGCUCUCCCUGUAUACCAUCAAGGUGUGCGAUGCUGAGUUCAGUCUCUGCUACAAGCCAUUCUGCAAUAGUGCCAGAUCCUAGGGGAGGAUUGUGGGCAGAA